Acanthopagrus latus (yellowfin seabream) is the source of this 1756-nucleotide long non-coding RNA. RefSeq lists it as uncharacterized. The record is from RefSeq and is a predicted model, not a curated record. The transcript has 3 exons. NCBI's taxonomy places the organism in Eukaryota, Metazoa, Chordata, Actinopteri, Spariformes, Sparidae.
UUAUUUUUGUGUAAAAGCCAGUAAGCAAUUUCUUGAUGUCCUCUUUAAGUGUUGAUCAAAAAUUUGACCUGAAAGAGAAAAUUUAGUUUCCAACCCAAAUCUCAUUGUUGUCCCCCCAUGAAUAACUUUUAAAUAAUCAUAAAGCUAGAAAUUCAACUGCAAUCUGACAUCAGUGUGAGCCUGUUUUUGGUUUCGUGUACUGAAUAAUGUGUCUUUGAACAUUAAGGCCUGAGAGCUUAAUUUGUUAUUAUAUUUUUUUGUAUUAGUUUUGAUGGAUCUUCAUAUUCCUGUUUACAUGCCUACUUACUUGUUAAGGUUGAAGGCUCACUGAGCAACUUAACUUUAUCAUGGCCUGAACUGCAUGAACUCAGUAAAAUCGAAUUUCAUUAUGACAGUCUAAAAAAAGAAAAAAAAAAUCAUAAUCAAAGAUCAAUUUCUUGUCUUGUUUCCUUGCAUGGUGGACGACAAUUAAACAAAUGCACCUCCAGCUCGAUCCGUGUGAAAACAACACAUUACAGGCUGACUCGGACGUGUUGUGGAGCAGCAACAGGUUAAUUAGUCGUUGCAUUAUUGCAGUCAAACGAAAACACAGAGCACCUGAGGGACAAAACGAGCCCACACAUGGAGAAAAUCUUUACAGUCCAUCGUUUUAUAUUUCGAUCACAUUAAAUUAAAUAAAUAAAUCCCACAUGGCUUCUUCAGAUUGUUAAUCUCUCGUCAUCAAAAUGCUCAACUUUAAUGCUCAUAAAGCUGCACGGCUGAAGCGCUCAGCUCUGCAUGCAUGUUAUAUAUAUUCCUUCCAGUAGUAAAGGGUGUUGAAGCCCGCAGUGAUCCCUGUCUGUCUCCCUCUCCUCCGCCGAGAGAGGUGGAGGCUGUUUGGUUGGAGAUGUGGGUCGGAAGUACCGUAGUUUAUGUAUGCUAAUAGGGAGAGUUGGGGGUUGUAGCUAGAUAUUUACGUUCAGUGGGAGCCGCCCUUCAUUCACCCACAUGGUUACCAACUGGUCGCCUUCGCGCCACUUUCCUAACCCCGCAAUCAUGUCUAACCAGCGUAUCUGGGCUAUAAAUUCACCCGCGAUCGGCUCGGAUUUCACUCCACGCUUCGGUUUUGUCCUCCGGUAGAAAAGUUUUCGGAUUAGUUGCGUAUUUAUUUCCCUCUUUUGUCGGCGAGAGACUACACGGCAGCCCAAGCAAGUGAGCGAAGAUGGUGGAUUUCGGCUGAUCUACCAUGAGGUGCAGGACCCUGGCCACAAUCGCGACAUGGAGCCAUGUGAACAUCCUCGCCAUGGUGCUGUAAUCAGUCUGUGGUAUUGUCAAAGUGCUUACAGUGCAGGUGGGGAUCAGUGGCAAUGCUGUGUACCUGGAGGUAUUGCACUUGUCCCGGCCUGUGUAGGAACGAGGAGAUGGAGGCAGCCCGUAUCUUAAACCAAGCCAUGAUUAAGAAAACUCCUGUGCUCGUGGUUACACAUCCCAUUUUGUUUGGUCUGUUUUGAAAUGCAUGUGAUUACCGGUGAUGGGUUUAAAGUAAUUGUAGUGUUGCUUGAAAAAUAUAUAUUAAAAAAAAAAGUUAUAUAUUUUCUUUCUCUGAAUGUUUUUUGUUAUGCAAAUCUCACAAUGUAUGGGUUGUAUCAUUUUAACAUCAGUGCAUGUUUUAUGGUUGGAGUUGAUCUGAAUCUCCAGUAAAUUUUUAGCUGGAAAAACUAAAUCAUGGCAUAACUUUGUAAUGCCAGCUGUAUAAUAAACUGGAACGCAUUCAAAA